AAUAACCAAAUGUAACACUGGGACUAAGGGUCAAUUUGUUAAUUUUUCUUACAUCUCCCCCCUAGGGGCCUAGGUAUCAUACACAUCGCCAAAAUAAAGAGCCUUGAAUAUUAGAAGAAAAGCACCUAGACCUAACAAAAUUAAGUGAAUACCCAAAAUUUUAGUCAUUUUA
RNAcentral lists this antisense RNA (172 nucleotides) under Triticum aestivum (bread wheat). RNAcentral describes it as "Antisense RNA which regulates isiA expression". It matches the Rfam family "Antisense RNA which regulates isiA expression". RNAcentral also lists the same sequence under 1 other name. The record is from Rfam by way of RNAcentral. Lineage: Eukaryota; Viridiplantae; Streptophyta; Magnoliopsida; Poales; Poaceae.